This 489-nucleotide ribosomal RNA is filed under the name uncultured bacterium. RNAcentral describes it as "partial 16S ribosomal RNA". It matches the Rfam family "Bacterial small subunit ribosomal RNA", at positions 30 to 506 of the family's 1533-position model. The record is from RNAcentral.
AUUGAACGCUGGCGGCAGGCCUAACACAUGCAAGUCGAACGGUAGCAGGAAGCAGCUUGCUGCUUUGCUGACGAGUGGCGGACGGGUGAGUAAUGUCUGGGAAACUGCCUGAUGGAGGGGGAUAACUACUGGAAACGGUAGCUAAUACCGCAUAACGUCGCAAGACCAAAGAGGGGGACCUUAGGGCCUCUUGCCAUCGGAUGUGCCCAGAUGGGAUUAGCUAGUAGGUGGGGUAACGGCUCACCUAGGCGACGAUCCCUAGCUGGUCUGAGAGGAUGACCAGCCACACUGGAACUGAGACACGGUCCAGACUCCUACGGGAGGCAGCAGUGGGGAAUAUUGCACAAUGGGCGCAAGCCUGAUGCAGCCAUGCCGCGUGUAUGAAGAAGGCCUUCGGGUUGUAAAGUACUUUCAGCGGGGAGGAAGGGAGUAAAGUUAAUACCUUUGCUCAUUGACGUUACCCGCAGAAGAAGCACCGGCUAACUCCGU